GAAGUUUGGGCUUCGGCCCUCUCUCUUCUACACACUUGUGAACUUACAACGUUGCUUUGGCAGGUAUCUCGAAGGACGAAAGUCCGGAGGGUCAGGUCGCAAGACGCCUGCCGAGGACACUUAUCCACCCUUUUUCUAUAGUCUGAUUCUUGUUUUAAACAAAAUUAAAAUAAAACUUUCAACAAUGGAUCUCUUGGCUCU
Molecule: unclassified non-coding RNA, 201 nt
Filed under: rhizosphere metagenome
Description: partial ribosomal RNA internal transcribed spacer region
Source: RNAcentral